Acanthopagrus latus (yellowfin seabream) is the source of this 391-nucleotide long non-coding RNA. RefSeq lists it as uncharacterized. The transcript has 4 exons. Lineage: Eukaryota; Metazoa; Chordata; Actinopteri; Spariformes; Sparidae. The record is from RefSeq and is a predicted model, not a curated record.
CGAAGAUAUCGAGGAUGCCGAUGGACUUGAAGUUGUCUUUCCCUUUGAUCUUCUGGUUGAUCCUCAUUAUGAUCCAGGAGAAACACUGGGAAUAAAGCGCCAUGGCAACCGAGUCUCGGCCUCAGUGAAGUGUCUAUAAAACAAACAGCGGUUUGGAGACAAAGGUGUGUUAUGUCAUCGUCUGUCUGCCGGCGGCAGAGAUGGAAAUAUCAUAAAGACAGAAGGCAGACUCUGGUGGAAAGUAUACAAGUACAUUUUGAGAAGUGAUCUGAGCGCCGCCAGCAGUCAUGAAUUCAAUGUUGCCCAUCUGAAGGACGGCGGAGAGCAACUUGAACACGUCUCUGAUCUCCUCCUCGGUGAACUCCAUCACUUUCAGGGCCUCCUGCAACAC